Molecule: long non-coding RNA, 276 nt
Filed under: Medicago truncatula (barrel medic)
Lineage: Eukaryota; Viridiplantae; Streptophyta; Magnoliopsida; Fabales; Fabaceae
Description: lncRNA gene41306
Source: RNAcentral
AUGAUGAUGAGCAGCUAAGUAUUGACGUGGAUCAAUACUGGACCUCUGUUGUUGCAUGGAGAAUGAAGGUUGUCCCAUUGAGUCGAAAAGUGUAGACAUAUCAUAGGUGACCGGCAUGGUUGUGGCGGUGGUUGGUGGUAGGUCAGCAAAGGAGAAGACUGUUGGGGCCGCGGUCGCCUGUGGUGGUGGUAGCGGUGGUUGUUGGGUUAGCCCAGAUGAAUUAAUGUGGCUUUGUAAGUAGGAGAGUUCAGCUUGUAAACUCAUCACCUGUGGAAC